This 448-nucleotide ribosomal RNA is filed under the name uncultured bacterium. RNAcentral's name for it is "bacterial SSU rRNA". It matches the Rfam family "Bacterial small subunit ribosomal RNA", at positions 96 to 562 of the family's 1533-position model. The record is from RNAcentral.
UGGCGAACGGGCGAGUAACGCGUGAGCAACCUACCCUAAACUGGGGGAUAACAACGGGAAACCGUUGCUAAUACCGCAUAAUACUAUGAUAUCGCAUGAUGUCAUAGUCAAAGCUCCGGCGGUUUAGGAUGGGCUCGCGUCCAAUUAGCUAGUUGGUGAGGUAACGGCUCACCAAGGCGACGAUUGGUAGCCGAACUGAGAGGUUGGUCGGCCGCAUUGGGACUGAGACACGGCCCAGACUCCUACGGGAGGCAGCAGUGGGGAAUAUUGCGCAAUGGGGGAAACCCUGACGCAGCGACGCCGCGUGAAGGAAGAAGGCCUUCGGGUUGUAAACUUCUUUGAUCGGGGAAGAAACUGACGGUACCCGAGGAACAAGCCACGGCUAACUACGUGCCAGCAGCCGCGGUAAUACGUAGGUGGCUAGCGUUGUCCGGAAUUACUGGGCGUA